GGUGCCGAGGGGCGCUGCGACGGGCCCGGCCCGCCACGCUCGGCACCGUCUCCUGCAGCAAGGGCGCCUUCUCACC
This 76-nucleotide non-coding RNA is filed under the name Amycolatopsis methanolica. RNAcentral describes it as "SAH sequence". It matches the Rfam family "SAH (S-adenosyl-L-homocysteine) riboswitch aptamer". RNAcentral also lists the same sequence under 1 other name. Lineage: Bacteria; Bacillati; Actinomycetota; Actinomycetes; Pseudonocardiales; Pseudonocardiaceae. The record is from RNAcentral.